UCCUGCCCGGUGACCUACGGGUUUAACGGCCGCGGUACCCUGACCGUGCUAAGGUAGCGUGAUAAUUCGCCCUUUAAUUGUGGGCUUGUAUGAAUGGACAAACGAGGGCCAAGCUGUCUCUUUUGCAAACAUAAAAAUUGGCCUUCAGGUGAAAAGACCUGGAUCUGCCCAAAGGACAAGAAGACCCCGUAGAGCUUUGUUCUCAAUUAAUAUAAAGAAAAGUAUUAUAUUUUUUCUUUAUAACUAAAAAAAGAACUCAGCUGGGGCGGCUGAGGAAAAUGAAAUCUUCCAUCUAAAUCAGACCUUUAAAUAGCGCAAAAAGGCUUCAUGCCAAAUCUUAAAUUGACCCCCUAAGGAUCAAAGAAAAUAGCUACCUCGGGGAUAACAGAUUAAUCCUUCUUGAGAGUCCGCAUUGACAGAAGGGCUUGACACCUCGAUGUUGGCUUAGGAUACCCAGGAGGUUGCAGAAGCUUCCAAAGGUAGGUUUGUUCAACCUUUAAAAUCCCU
Molecule: ribosomal RNA, 507 nt
Filed under: Lagis plurihamus
Lineage: Eukaryota; Metazoa; Annelida; Polychaeta; Terebellida; Pectinariidae
Description: partial large subunit ribosomal RNA
Rfam family: Bacterial large subunit ribosomal RNA
Source: RNAcentral